CGUCUGGAAAGGCGCGCGAUACAGGGUGACAGCCCCGUACACAAAAGCGCAUGUGCUGUGAGCUCGAUGAGUAGGGCGGGACACGUGGUAUCCUGUCUGAAUAUGGGGGGACCAUCCUCCAAGGCUAAAUACUCCUGACUGACCGAUAGUGAACCAGUACCGUGAGGGAAAGGCGAAAAGAACCCCGGCGAGGGGAGUGAAAAAGAACCUGAAACCGUGUACGUACAAGCAGUGGGAGCCCCACCACCAAAGCAUUCUCUGGUGUUGAAGGCCCUGCAAAGCAGCAUCGCGGUGGCGGAGCGUCGUUUGCGACGCCCAACACACAAAACAAGCGGUGAGUGCUUUGGGGUGGGGUGACUGCGUACCUUUUGUAUAAUGGGUCAGCGACUUAUAUUCUGUAGCAAGGUUAACCGWAUAGGGGAGCCGGAGGGAAACCGAGUCUUAAUUGGGCGUUAAGUUGCAGGGUAUAGACCCGAAACCCGGUGAUCUAGCCAUGGGCAGGUUGAAGGUUGGGUAACACUAACUGGAGGACCGAACCGACUAAUGUUGAAAAAUUAGCGGAUGACCUGUGGCUGGGGGUGAAAGGCCAAUCAAACCGGGAGAUAGCUGGUUCUCCCCGAAAGCUAUUUAGGUAGCGCCUCGUGAAUUCAUCUCCGGGGGUAGAGCACUGUUUCGGCUAGGGGGCCAUCCCGGCUUACCAACCCGAUGCAAACUGCGAAUACCGGAGAAUGUUAUCACGGGAGACACACGGCGGGUGCUAACGUCCGUCGUGAAGAGGGAAACAACCCAGACCGCCAGCUAAGGUCCCAAAGUCAUGGUUAAGUGGGAAACGAUGUGGGAAGGCCCAGACAGCCAGGAUGUUGGCUUAGAAGCAGCCAUCAUUUAAAGAAAGCGUAAUAGCUCACUGGUCGAGUCGGCCUGCGCGGAAGAUGUAACGGGGCUAAACCAUGCACCGAAGCUGCGGCAGCGA
Molecule: ribosomal RNA, 970 nt
Filed under: Salmonella enterica subsp. enterica serovar Infantis
Lineage: Bacteria; Pseudomonadati; Pseudomonadota; Gammaproteobacteria; Enterobacterales; Enterobacteriaceae
Description: partial 23S ribosomal RNA
Source: RNAcentral